AGAGUUUGAUCAUGGCUCAGAUUGAACGCUGGCGGCGUGCCUAACACAUGCAAGUCGAGCGGUAACAGGUGUAGCAAUACAUGCUGACGAGCGGCGGACGGGUGAGCAAUGUUUGGGAAUCUGCCUAUUAGUGGGGGACAACCCGGGGAAACUCGGGCUAAUACCGCAUACGCACUACGGUGGAAAGCCGGGGACCGCAAGGCCUGGCGCUAAUAGAUGAGCCCAAAUCGGAUUAGCUAGUUGGUGAGGUAACGGCUCACCAAGGCGACGAUCCGUAGCUGGUCUGAGAGGACGACCAGCCACACCGGAACUGAGACACGGUCCGGACUCCUACGGGAGGCAGCAGUGGGGAAUAUUGGACAAUGGGGGAAACCCUGAUCCAGCGACGCCGCGUGGGUGAAGAAGGCCUGCGGGUUGUAAAGCCCUUUCGGUGGGGAUAAAAAGCCUUGGUCUAACACACCAGGGUCUUGAUCUAACCCAAGAAAGAAGCACCGGCUAACUCUGUGCCAGCAGCCGCGGUAAUACAGAGGGUGCGAGCGUUAAUCGGAAUUACUGGGCGUAAAGCGCGCGUAGGUGGCUAUGCAAGUCGGAUGUGAAAUCCCCGGGCUCAACCUGGGAACUGCAUUCGAGACUGCAUUGCUCGAGUAUGGGAGAGGGAAGUGGAAUUUCCGGUGUAGCGGUGAAAUGCGUAGAUAUCGGAAGGAACAUCAGUGGCGAAAGCGACUUCCUGGACCAAUACUGACACUCAAGUGCGAAAGCGUGGGGAGCAAACAGGAUUAGAUACCCUAGUAGUCC
Molecule: ribosomal RNA, 795 nt
Filed under: uncultured bacterium
Lineage: Bacteria
Description: bacterial SSU rRNA
Rfam family: Bacterial small subunit ribosomal RNA
Source: RNAcentral